RNAcentral lists this ribosomal RNA (467 nucleotides) under uncultured Acidimicrobiales bacterium. Its description in RNAcentral is "bacterial SSU rRNA". It matches the Rfam family "Bacterial small subunit ribosomal RNA", at positions 28 to 505 of the family's 1533-position model. The record is from RNAcentral. Lineage: Bacteria; Bacillati; Actinomycetota; Acidimicrobiia; Acidimicrobiales.
GACGAACGCUGGCGGCGUGCUUAAUACAUGCAAGUCGAACGAGGUCCAACCGAUCUUCGGAUUGGUGAAGACUUAGUGGCGAACGGGUGCGUAACACGUGAGAAACCUGCCCCGGUCUCUGGAAUAACAGUUGGAAACGACUGCUAAUACCGGAUGCCGUCGGACCAUCGCAUGGUGGACCGACGAAAGGGUUACCGGACUGGGAGGGUCUCGCGGCCUAUCAGCUUGUUGGUGAGGUAACGGCUCACCAAGGCAUCGACGGGUAGCUGGUCUGAGAGGAUGGUCAGCCACACUGGGACUGAGACACGGCCCAGACUCCUACGGGAGGCAGCAGUAGGGAAUAUUGCACAAUGGGCGAAAGCCUGAUGCAGCAACGCCGCGUGCGGGAAGAAGGCCCUAGGGUUGUAAACCGCUUUCAGCAGGGAAGAAAAUGACGGUACCUGCAGAAGAAGGUGCGGCCAACUACG